This 113-nucleotide ribosomal RNA is filed under the name Danio rerio (zebrafish). Lineage: Eukaryota; Metazoa; Chordata; Actinopteri; Cypriniformes; Danionidae. The record is from RNAcentral.
UGCCACAGCCAUGUCACCCUGCAGCCCAAGACUUACUCACUGAAGCCAAGCAGGCUGAGCCUAGUUAGUACCUGGAUGGAAGACCAUAUGGGAAAACUAGGUUGCUGUUGGAA